GGUAUGGGAUGAGCUUGCGUCCGAUUAGCUAGUUGGCGGGGCAACGGCCCACCAAGGCGACGAUCGGUAGCCGGCCUGAGAGGGUGAUCGGCCACAUUGGGACUGAGAUACGGCCCAGACUCCUACGGGGGGCAGCAGUAGGGAAUAUUGCACAAUGGGGGAAACCCUGAUGCAGCAACGCCACGUGUGGGAAGAAGCAUUUCGGUGUGUAAACCACUGUCGUGAGGGAAUAAGGCUAUUUUUCGGAGUAGUUGAAUGUACCUCGAGAGGAAGCACCGGCAAACUUCGUGCCAGCAGCCGCGGUAAUACGAGGGGUGCAAGCGUUGUUCGGAAUCACUGGGCGUAAAGGGAGCGCAGGCGGAAGCUCAAGCGGAUUGUACAAUACCGGGGCCCAACCCCGGACCUGCAGUCCGAACUGGGUUUCUUGGAUAGUUCAGGGGCAGGC
This 445-nucleotide ribosomal RNA is filed under the name uncultured bacterium. RNAcentral describes it as "bacterial SSU rRNA". It matches the Rfam family "Bacterial small subunit ribosomal RNA", at positions 217 to 662 of the family's 1533-position model. The record is from RNAcentral.